This 218-nucleotide long non-coding RNA is filed under the name Elaeis guineensis (African oil palm). Its description in RNAcentral is "long non-coding RNA (EGUI_LNC015581)". The record is from RNAcentral. Lineage: Eukaryota; Viridiplantae; Streptophyta; Magnoliopsida; Arecales; Arecaceae.
CUGCUAAACUUUUAUUCCCACCAUGGGAAUUGAUAUCAUGCAUCGAUUACUUUGAUAUUCAUGUUUAAAGUAUUAACAUUUUUAAGUUCAUGAUAUAAUGUUUCAUAGAUAUGGUUCUGAUACACCCUGCCGUAAAAUAUUUUUCCGAUUGAUUUUUUGCUGAUGUUGCAAGUAACAUUGCUGAAGGACACAUUUGGAAAUGAUCAUUUACCUGAUAC